ACUCUAUGUCAUCUCUAACCCCCCACUGUGCUCUUACCUCCAGAGCGGCAGACGGUUUCUUUUUCAGCUCCUCACAUUUGCGGAACUUGCAGAUCUGGUGGCCCGUUUUGCGGUUCCGGCAGCUGCUGCACGUCUCGCAGUUAAUCCGCCGGCGGCAGGGCGGGCACAUGCCGCAGCGUUUCCGCUUCUUUUUGCCGGAGUUGAUGGCCGAGGCCAGCUCGCUCUGCGCCGGGUACUCGGCCAGGCCGGCCAUGUGCAGCGCGCUGUCGGCCAAGAACACUCCUGCCGGUGUCAUGAUGAACAGCCCCGGGUUGAACGGGAAGCCGCCUCCAACACCGUACGGGAAGUCCGCAACACCGCCAACAGAGUCCACAGCAGACGAACCCUCCAAGUCGCUUGCCCCUGAGCCUGAAUCGCUACCCCCCAUCCCCAUCCCCAUGCCCCCCGGCAGCAGCAUGUGCUCCAUCCCAGCCCUCUUUAGCAGCUCCGCCGCCUGGGCAAAGUGCAGCAGGCCGUUCUGUCCCUCCAAGACCUGCUCCAGGGUGCGGUCCAGCUUGGCUGCCGCAAGCGCUGAGACGGUGGGCUGGGGCUGUGGGGGUGGCUGGGGCUUGGCCGGGUGGCUCUUGGCCUCUCCAUUGUGGUGUGCGUGUCCAUUAGUGUUGGUGGGGCAGGCGGCUGUGUACUGGGAGAGGGUGCGGGACCUCUUAAGGCUCUUACUCAGGGGCUCACUGAUGAUGCCACUGCGGUUCCUGCGCUCAAUGACAGGGACAUCCUCCGUGCAGCUGUUCCGCUCCAGGGCCUCGGCUGUCCGGUCUCGGCUUCCGCUAGACAUGGUCCAGUACGUGCAGGGCUGGGGAUCGGGGCGGGAGGGGGACAGGGGGCGAGCAGAGGAGGGGGAGCCGAUAGGUUCUCACAGUCUGCUCUGAGCCCAGGUGAGGUGGCGCCUCCCUGCUGUGGGCGAAUCGGCCAGCCAACCACAGGCAGGCCCUAGAGCCUUGGCUCUCGCUCUAAACCUCAGCCCUCAUCCACAUCCUUUCACUGGCAACCUACAAACUGACACAGGGAGAGAGGAGAGCGAGAAGGGUCCUUCAAUAACAGGCUCAGUGUUGGACCUAGACAGCAUCUGAGUAAACAACCGACUCCAUUGAUAUAAAUGGGACAGCAACUCUGCCAUGCCUUAAUGUUACCUGUUUAUUAGAUUGAACACAGCUCAUGGAGAGAGAAAAAAAGCUGCAAAAAUGAGACAGCUCACUCAGAGGGUUUGUAUCUAAACAGCUCAUGAUCACAGUGUAAUAGCCCUGGAAGAUGUGUC
RNAcentral lists this long non-coding RNA (1312 nucleotides) under Salmo salar (Atlantic salmon). RNAcentral's name for it is "lncRNA (ENSSSAG00000111252.1)". Lineage: Eukaryota; Metazoa; Chordata; Actinopteri; Salmoniformes; Salmonidae. The record is from RNAcentral.